UAGGGAAUUUUGCGCAAUGGACGAAAGUCUGACGCAGCGACGCCGCGUGGGUGAUGAAGGCUUCGGGUUGUAAAGCCCUGUGGGGAGGGACGAAUUAGUGGAAGCUAAUACCUUCCAUGAUGACGGUACCUCCUUAGCAAGCACCGGCUAACUCUGUG
This 158-nucleotide ribosomal RNA is filed under the name uncultured bacterium. RNAcentral describes it as "partial 16S ribosomal RNA". It matches the Rfam family "Bacterial small subunit ribosomal RNA", at positions 355 to 507 of the family's 1533-position model. The record is from RNAcentral.